Molecule: ribosomal RNA, 468 nt
Filed under: uncultured bacterium
Lineage: Bacteria
Description: partial 16S ribosomal RNA
Rfam family: Bacterial small subunit ribosomal RNA
Source: RNAcentral
GACGAACGCUGGCGGCGUGCUUAACACAUGCAAGUCGAACGGAAAGGCCCUGCUUUUGUGGGGUGCUCGAGUGGCGAACGGGUGAGUAACACGUGAGUAACCUGCCCUUGACUUUGGGAUAACUUCAGGAAACUGGGGCUAAUACCGGAUAGGAGCUCCUGCUGCAUGGUGGGGGUUGGAAAGUUUCGGCGGUUGGGGAUGGACUCGCGGCUUAUCAGUUUGUUGGUGGGGUAGUGGCCUACCAAGGCUUUGACGGGUAGCCGGCCUGAGAGGGUGACCGGCCACAUUGGGACUGAGAUACGGCCCAGACUCCUACGGGAGGCAGCAGUGGGGAAUAUUGCACAAUGGGCGGAAGCCUGAUGCAGCAACGCCGCGUGCGGGAUGACGGCCUUCGGGUUGUAAACCGCUUUCGCCUGUGACGAAGCGUGAGUGACGGUAAUGGGUAAAGAAGCACCGGCUAACUACGUG